UCCUCGUUCUGCAUAAACACCCACAUACACAUGAACUUACAGUGGACAGAUAAAUCCCUCCUGCACACCAACACAACUUUAGAGUUCACUGAGGAUCGAACAUGGCAGCAAACAAGCUUUCACAAGCCAGGCUUCCCCUCAUUGAAAGAGUUAACGAAGCUCUCCUUAAGGAUCUCAUCGAUGGGCUCAGGGCUAAAGUCCCUGCAGUUCUUACUGGCAGGGAAGCCAAUGAGAUCCUGCAGGGUCACCGAGUGACGGAGGACAAGACUGGACUACUAGUAGAUAUGGUGUGUAAAAAAGGUGACCAGGCCAGUAAAUCUCUGUGUGAUAUUUUGAGAAUGAAAGAUGCAGAAAUCUUCAGAGAACUCCGCCUUGAACAGGAUAUGCAGGACAGUAGACCAAUUCCAUGUAAUCCACGUAUGGAGAUUAAUGGAUCAAAUUAUCGUUAAAUCGUUAAAAGAAUUUUUUUUAAAGGCUGGGAAAAUGUGAACACACCAGACCUGCUAAACAAGAACGUGGAGGAAAGUUGAUCUUCACUGCUUUUAAUAAUUUGAAAAAAAAAAAAAAAAUGUACUCAUGCCUGUUUCAGUAUGUUGUGGUGCACAAAUAAAAUAAAUAAAAUACAUUUUGACAAACUGAUCGUAAUCGUUUAUUAUUUCAGCCUUUCAACAAGGGAUCUGCUCUCUUUCUGAAGUCCUGAGAAGUGUUUUCUCGCUAUUUCUUCUCCAUCCACAAUUCCUUACAAGUCCUUUUUCUAUACCUAGCGACUUCUACACGUGUGUAUUUACUGGCUUAUGGAAAGUCUAGAAUCAUAGAAUACGUGAUGAAUAAUUUCAAAAAGAUCCUUAGAACGGAAAGAGGCUCAAGUGAAGGUGAAAGAAAAGACAAGUGUUUUCUACAUACAUAACUAAUUCAUUCACUCAUUCACUCAUUGAUGGACUGAUUAAUUCAAGAACAAAAACCUUGCACAUUUUAUCCAUUUAUAGUUACAUUUAAUGUUUACCUGCUGUUUUCACUUACAUUAUUACAUAAACAUUAAAGAAGUGUUCAGAACACAUCACCACAUCAAAAACGUACAGAUGUUUUAAAUACGUUUGUGUGGAGCAUACAGCAUACAAGUCCCUGUGUAAGAUGUUCUUAUAACGUAUAAGCAUAUUCUUAUUAACCAUAAUGAUAAUGAUCAUGAGUCUUUAUUGGUCACGUAUACAUUAAAACACAGUGAAAUUCUUUUCUUCGCAUACCCCAGCAUGUCAGGAAGCUGGGGUCAGAGUGCAGGGUCAGUCAUGAUACAGCGCCCCUGGAGUAGAGAGGGUCGAGGGCUUUGCUCAAGGGCCCAACAGUGGCAGCUUGGCAGUACAUGCAGCCAUGCAGCUGACAUUACCGUAACAGACGUAAUAGAAAAGUAAUAGAAGUAAUUUUAUACAGAGCAAGAUUCUUUGGUAUGAUAAAAAUUGGAACAGAUCUUUAUCAGCCUAUUUAUCUACUUUCUCUUUCUGCAUACAUACCCACCUACACAUAAGCUUACAGUGGAAAGAUAAAACCCUCCUCCAUACAAACACACCUUCAGAGUUCACUGAGAACGGAACAUGGCAGAGUUGCUUUUGAGAGCCCGGCUUCACCUCAUUGAGAGAGUUAAUGAAGCUCUCCUUAAGGAUCUUAUUGAUGGUCUCAGGGCUGCAAACCCGCCAGUUCUUACUAGCAGGGAAGCGAAUGAGAUAUUGCAGGCCCACAAAGUGAUAGAAGACAAGACUGGAAUACUAAUAAAUAUGGUGUAUGAAAAAGGUGACACUGCCAGCGCCGUUAUGAUGUCUAUUUUGGAACAAAAAGAUGUAAACCUCGCCAAAUACCUUGGCUUUAUCCCGGACUAGCCCGUCAGACACAAAAUAUCAUGUAUGGACAUGAAUAGACUCAAUUAUAUAAAAAAUAAAUAAAUAAAUAAAAAACUCACCAGACCUGCCAAACAAGAAUGUGAAGGAAAUUUGAUCUUCAUUGCUUUUAACUUGUUUAAUAAAACUCAUGCCUGUGUGAGUAUGUUGUGGCACACAAAUAAAUAAAAAUCAAUUUGGACAAACCGAUCAUAA
Ictalurus punctatus (channel catfish) is the source of this 2081-nucleotide long non-coding RNA. RefSeq lists it as uncharacterized. The record is from RefSeq and is a predicted model, not a curated record. Lineage: Eukaryota; Metazoa; Chordata; Actinopteri; Siluriformes; Ictaluridae. The transcript has 5 exons.